AACGAACGCUGGCGGCAUGCCUAACACAUGCAAGUCGAACGAGACCUUCGGGUCUAGUGGCGCACGGGUGCGUAACGCGUGGGAACCUGCCCUUAGGUUCGGAAUAACUCCCCGAAAGGGGUGCUAAUACCGGAUAAUGUCUUCGGACCAAAGAUUUAUCGCCUUUGGAUGGGCCCGCGUUGGAUUAGCUAGUUGGUAGGGUAAAAGCCUACCAAGGCGACGAUCCAUAGCUGGUCUGAGAGGAUGAUCAGCCACACUGGGACUGAGACACGGCCCAGACUCCUACGGGAGGGAGGAAGGGGGAAAAAUGGAAAAAGGGGGAAAGGCUGAACCAGCAAAGGCGGGUGAGGGAUGAAGGCCUUAGGGUUGGAAAGCUCUUUUAACCGGGAUGAUAAUGAAAGGACCGGGAGAAUAAGCUCCGGCUAACUCCGUG
Molecule: ribosomal RNA, 433 nt
Filed under: uncultured bacterium
Lineage: Bacteria
Description: partial 16S ribosomal RNA
Rfam family: Bacterial small subunit ribosomal RNA
Source: RNAcentral